RNAcentral lists this ribosomal RNA (515 nucleotides) under fungal sp. CSF28. RNAcentral describes it as "eukaryotic LSU rRNA". The stretch from base 149 to 302 matches the Rfam family "5.8S ribosomal RNA". The record is from RNAcentral. Lineage: Eukaryota; Fungi.
GAGUUAUACAACUCAUCAACCCUGUGAACAUACCUAAAACGUUGCUUCGGCGGGAACAGACGGCCCUGUAACAACGGGCCGCCCCCGCCAGAGGACCCCUAACUCUGUUUUUAUAAUGUUUUUCUGAGUAAACAAGCAAAUAAAUUAAAACUUUCAACAACGGAUCUCUUGGCUCUGGCAUCGAUGAAGAACGCAGCGAAAUGCGAUAAGUAAUGUGAAUUGCAGAAUUCAGUGAAUCAUCGAAUCUUUGAACGCACAUUGCGCCCGCCAGUAUUCUGGCGGGCAUGCCUGUUCGAGCGUCAUUACAACCCUCAGGCCCCCGGGCCUGGCGUUGGGGAUCGGCGGAAGCCCCCUGUGGGCACACGCCGUCCCUCAAAUACAGUGGCGGUCCCGCCGCAGCUUCCAUUGCGUAGUAGCUAACACCUCGCAACUGGAGAGCGGCGCGGCCAUGCCGUAAAACACCCAACUUCUGAAUGUUGACCUCGAAUCAGGUAGGAAUACCCGCUGAACUUAAG